Molecule: ribosomal RNA, 1507 nt
Filed under: Chlamydia psittaci
Lineage: Bacteria; Pseudomonadati; Chlamydiota; Chlamydiia; Chlamydiales; Chlamydiaceae
Also listed under: 1 other name
Description: bacterial SSU rRNA
Rfam family: Bacterial small subunit ribosomal RNA
Source: RNAcentral
AGAAUUUGAUCUUGGUUCAGAUUGAACGCUGGCGGCGUGGAUGAGGCAUGCAAGUCGAACGGAAUAAUGACUUCGGUUGUUAUUUAGUGGCGGAAGGGUUAGUAAUACAUAGAUAAUCUGUCCUCAACUUGGGAAUAACGGUUGGAAACGACCGCUAAUACCGAAUGUGGUAUGUUUAGGCAUCUAAAACAUAUUAAAGAAGGGGAUCUUCGGACCUUUCGGUUGAGGGAGAGUCUAUGGGAUAUCAGCUUGUUGGUGGGGUAAUGGCCUACCAAGGCUUUGACGUCUAGGCGGAUUGAGAGAUUGACCGCCAACACUGGGACUGAGACACUGCCCAGACUUCUACGGAAGGCUGCAGUCGAGAAUCUUUCGCAAUGGACGAAAGUCUGACGAAGCGACGCCGCGUGUGUGAUGAAGGCUCUAGGGUUGUAAAGCACUUUCGCUUGGGAAUAAGAGAGAUUGGCUAAUAUCCAAUCGAUUUGAGCGUACCAGGUAAAGAAGCACCGGCUAACUCCGUGCCAGCAGCUGCGGUAAUACGGAGGGUGCUAGCGUUAAUCGGAUUUAUUGGGCGUAAAGGGCGUGUAGGCGGAAAGGAAAGUUAGAUGUUAAAUCUUGGGGCUCAACCCCAAGCCAGCAUCUAAUACUAUCUUUCUAGAGGGUAGAUGGAGAAAAGGGAAUUCCACGUGUAGCGGUGAAAUGCGUAGAUAUGUGGAAGAACACCAGUGGCGAAGGCGCUUUUCUAAUUUACACCUGACGCUAAGGCGCGAAAGCAAGGGGAGCAAACAGGAUUAGAUACCCUGGUAGUCCUUGCCGUAAACGAUGCAUACUUGAUGUGGAUAGUCUCAACCCUAUCCGUGUCGUAGCUAACGCGUUAAGUAUGCCGCCUGAGGAGUACACUCGCAAGGGUGAAACUCAAAAGAAUUGACGGGGGCCCGCACAAGCAGUGGAGCAUGUGGUUUAAUUCGAUGCAACGCGAAGAACCUUACCUGGGCUUGACAUGUAUUUGACCGCGGCAGAAAUGUCGUUUUCCGCAAGGACAGAUACACAGGUGCUGCAUGGCUGUCGUCAGCUCGUGCCGUGAGGUGUUGGGUUAAGUCCCGCAACGAGCGCAACCCUUAUCGUUAGUUGCCAACACUUAGGGUGGGAACUCUAACGAGACUGCCUGGGUUAACCAGGAGGAAGGCGAGGAUGACGUCAAGUCAGCAUGGCCCUUAUGCCCAGGGCUACACACGUGCUACAAUGGCCAGUACAGAAGGUAGCAAUAUCGUGAGAUGGAGCAAAUCCUCAAAGCUGGCCCCAGUUCGGAUUGUAGUCUGCAACUCGACUACAUGAAGUCGGAAUUGCUAGUAAUGGCGUGUCAGCUAUAACGCCGUGAAUACGUUCCCGGGCCUUGUACACACCGCCCGUCACAUCAUGGGAGUUGGUUUUGCCUUAAGUCGUUGACUCAACCUGCAAAGGAGAGAGGCGCCCAAGGUGAGGCUGAUGACUGGGAUGAAGUCGUAACAAG